This 254-nucleotide ribosomal RNA is filed under the name uncultured bacterium. RNAcentral's name for it is "partial 16S ribosomal RNA". It matches the Rfam family "Bacterial small subunit ribosomal RNA", at positions 524 to 776 of the family's 1533-position model. The record is from RNAcentral.
UACGGGGGGAGCAAGCGUUGUUCGGAUUUACUGGGCGUAAAGGGCGCGUAGGCGGUCAGCACAAGUCAGUUGUGAAAUCUCCGGGCUUAACUCGGAAAGGUCAACUGAUACUGUGCGACUAGAGUGCGGAAGGGGCAACUGGAAUUCUCGGUGUAGCGGUGAAAUGCGUAGAUAUCAGGAGGAACACCGGUGGCGAAGGCGGCCCUCUGGACGGAUACUGACGCUGAGGCGCGAAAGCGUGGGGAUCAAACAGG